Malassezia arunalokei is the source of this 93-nucleotide non-coding RNA. NCBI's taxonomy places the organism in Eukaryota, Fungi, Basidiomycota, Malasseziomycetes, Malasseziales, Malasseziaceae. The record is from the annotation of a GenBank genome assembly.
UCCCAGUUAGUACAACGGUCAGUAUAUGUCGCUUUCAUGUGCAUGAGCCAGUGAGGCGCCGACAAGACCCGGGUUCGACUCCCGGAUUGGGAA